This 367-nucleotide long non-coding RNA is filed under the name Carassius auratus (goldfish). Its description in RNAcentral is "lncRNA (ENSCARG00000051186.1)". The record is from RNAcentral. Lineage: Eukaryota; Metazoa; Chordata; Actinopteri; Cypriniformes; Cyprinidae.
AUGGGACGACACUCCAGAGUGGAGCUAGGGACCAAAAGAAGGAAUAAGGCAGCUUAUCUUGCUGAUUGUGAACCUGAGGUGCUGAAAGGAGUCAGCAGAGGAGAAAGUGAGGAAACGGCUCGCUGGUUCCAGUGUACAAUACUAUGCAAGAGCAAAAAACUAGAGGGUCAAGUCUUCAUGGUUGGACCACGGGUCUACUUAGAUAAAAUACCUCGACUUGACACAACAUAUUCCUCUGUGAAUAUAGAUCUCAUUGGAAUUGCAAGAAAGAACAAUGAAGGAUCAGCUGCUGUGGCUUUCAUGAGCUACAACACGAUGGAGAAUCUACUUAAGCCAGACUUUUUCGACACAUCAAAUGACACAGUUA